CUGCUCAGGAAUUUGAAUGCUCUGAGCAGAGAUACUUUGACUGCAUGAGGUUCUAGGAAAAGUAUGUGUGAGUGCAUGUGAGUGGAUGUGCGUGCCUGCAUGUGUGAUAUGGCUCCAGGAUACAAGGAGUGAGACCGCACACUGGAAGACAGAGAAAAAGCAGCCUCAACAGUCUGAACAGAGAUGCUGUGUAGGCUUGUGGAAAGCCUGGAGAACCUUGGAUUAAGGUUCUGGCAGAAAGAGCCUUGAAGGGCAUCCUGUGAUUUUCACUUCAAGAAAAGGAAACUUGAAAUGCAAACUGCACUUCAAAAUAGUGACAAGACCCUUCACAAAGUAGAAACUCACAGCUUGAGAAAGGAACUUCAACAAAGCUGGGUUUGCUGUCCAGCAAGACUGGAUGAUGACCUCAGUGCUGUCACUGAACCAGAACAAAGACCUGUUCAGGAAUUUGAGAACAAAAUGUGAUGACACUGGAAAAUCCUGACCUGUCAAAACCAACAUAUUCUUUGGAAAUAGUUUGGUUUCAACAAACUUCUUCCAAAUCACUGUUGUAUUUCCUUUUAAAACUUGCCUAGUUUUCUGAAAAUUCAUGUAGAGAGGGCAGUUCAGGAGUUUGUGUUUCAAAGGUCUAGAACUCCUGCCAGCUCUGGCAAAGCUUAAAAUGAGUUGAGUUGGAAAGAGUUGAAGACACAAAGUUUACCGUUUGUGAACAGAAAGGUGGUUUCAGGAGAGAGCACUUAACAAUAUUCUGAAGAAAUCCCUCUAAUUGCUUGCUGUCUUCACAGCCCUGCAUCUGGGCUACGGCAGCUGAUGACAGCUUCUGCAGAGAACAAGGUCCAUUGCUCAGCCCUCCUGACGGAAGAAGACCAGGCAGAAAUGAUCCAGUAUCACAGUUUCCAUCCUAGUAGCAACAGGACUGCUCCUCUCAUUUCCAUCUCUGCAAAACUUUUGUGGGAAAGGGGAAGGACCAAACAGCACCUGGCUCUGCCUGGUGUCAGAAAGAGGAUGUCUUUGCCGUUACAAACUUGGCAGGAACUGCCUCAGAGAACAGUUCUUCAUAAAUCUUGCUUCCACAGUUAUAGACCUGCUUUGGGUUUUGAGAGAUCAAAUUAAAUUUUUGACAGGGGUUGGGCCACUCUCAGACAGGCUGGUGGCCCCCACAUAGAUUUACCCUGUGGUUAUAGAACAUGCAAGGCACGGUGUACUUGCUCUUCAGACUAGCUGAUGGUUAGAGGUCCCCAAAUUUCAAGUCCCCUGCCCGUGCAUCUGGCAUAUUCCCUUCUUGCUGACCUCCCAGGCUGUAAGACAGAGCACAGCAGCUCUGGGAGCCUCAGCUCCCACUGGGUGUCACAAGACCUCCCCCCUCUUCAGCAGAGGACUGGGGGCCACAUGUAGAUACUAGAGUUUUUUGGCUCCCUGAGCUGGGGCUAGGAGCUGGGAAGCCAGGAUACAGGUGGGGGCUUUUGAGUGUCCUGGGCUCUCUGCCACAGAGCAGAGUGCUGUGCCAGGCUGCAGGGCAGCAGCAGCAAACCUGCUGGGGAGCCCCCCAGGAGGUAAGUCAGCUUCCUCGCCUUUUGAAGACAAAAAACAAAAACAGAAACAAAGCAAGAAGACAGAAGAAAUCUGGCAAGGGAAUGACAAUGCCUGUAGUUUCCAAUCCAGAUCAGAGGGGAAAUAUUCCACGUUUAGGAGUACAAAAGCGUAAGUUUUAGGCAAUUCUAAUUGCAACCACAAAGCCCCGGUCCUUGCAACUGCUUAGGCAUCAGCAGACUCACAGAGGCAGAGCUAGCCACGUAGUUGCUUCAGCUCUUCACCAGAGAAUGUUUCUAGUGCAUUUUCAGAAUUCAGAAGACAAAGUAUGUAUGAUUUACUCUAAGUCAGUACUUGUCUCUCCUAUUUUCAUCAGGACACUGACCUUUCUGCCUCCCUUGCUGAGACUGAUCAAUCAGAAUAUUGAUACCUACAGCUGCCUGUCUCUUGCAUGAAUACUUCAGAUAGCUAAAUAUAUAUCACAUUAAUUUGACCCUAAAGAAAAAACCAAAAAACUACUUCACCAGCAUUUUUUGUCCAUGCUCUGUGAUAACCAUAACAGCAAGACCAAAGCAAUGUUGCAUUUGAGAUGCAGUCAUCUGCCAGUCUCAAUACUUUCUGCUUAUGCUGGUGUUAAGUCCACAGAUGCCAAGAGAGGAUCACCACAUAUUUCUUCUGAGUUCGCAUAUGCACUGGUCAUGACAAUUAUUUGUGGCAGUAUUUUAUGGAAAAGGACUCUAAGAGGCCACUCACAUGCUUGGAUUUUAAAGUGAGGACUUUAAGGUAUCCUGGUGAGUAGCAUGCAGGUUCCUUCCUCUGACAGCAGCACCUCUUUCUGUCUCUGCUCUUCCCACUGUCAGUCCUGCAAUGACCCACGAGGCCCUGCUGGCAGGAGCUCAGCACAGCUCAGCUCCAGGCUGGGAUGCUGCUGGUGAGGUUCUCUCUGCAGUCCCUGCGAGCAGCACACGGUAACCUUCACUGGCAACGACACUGUCUUGUGAAACCUAAAUAGCUGGAGAACUAUUCAGGGGGAGUAAUAUGUACAAUGGUCUGUCCAAAGCCUGAAAGUCAUCCUGGGCUUUGCCUUCUCUGUCAGAAUGAAAGCUGUUGGUGAAACAGAGAGUUGGAAAACCAGAGUUUUGAGCUGUUGUGUGCCAUAAUCAAUCUUUUUAAAAAUAUUCACUGAAGAAAGAGCUUCCUUCUGGAGAAAAGUUGUUUACAGGAUGAAUUCCAUGCUGAGGUUAAUAUUUAUAGCCACUAUGAAUCUUUUAAAGGCGAACAGCUUCUAACUGCAAUAAGGUACGAGGCUCUAAUAAUACGGUAUUUGCAGAGCUUGGGCAAAACGUGUGGUAGGUUUUCUUCGGAGCCAAUGCAUUGCAGAGAAAGAAAUAUAAAAUGAACUCUGCCCGUGCUGAUGCCAGCAGUCACAGUUACAGAUUGUAAAAAGAGCAGAGAGAGUAUCUUCUUCCUAUGGCAAUCUCCUAGGUGACUGCUUGUUUUCUUAUCGUUACCUGUUCAUCACUUUGGUCUUAAGAGUUUCAUAUACACUGGAGAAUAAGCAACCUGACAGUUCCAUGAAAAGCCACAAUAAUGGUAGGCAUUAUAUGCAACUGAUUUAUUUUCUUAAUAUAGUAUCAAGGCCGUUUUUAGCUGUAUUUGUAGAGAUACAGUGACACCCAGUGGUUGCUAAUAAAUAUAACAGACUGACCUAUAAUUUAUUUGGGGCACUGGAUCUGAUCAUUAUCUAAACUAGCUCAUAUGCCUUCAGAGAAGUUCCAGUGUGUGCUGUUUAUUGAAAAAAACGUGAAUCAGUACAUUUUUUUGCUUCAUAUAUUUUAUUGAAUCUCUAAAACGAAAAUAAAAUAGAAAUAUACAAAGCUAGUCAUGCAAGUAGUGUUUUCUUAUAGCCCUUGCUAAAUAAAAUUGUGUUGGUUCAAGCACA
Long non-coding RNA from Corvus hawaiiensis (hawaiian crow), 3472 nucleotides. RefSeq lists it as uncharacterized. The transcript has 2 exons. The record is from RefSeq and is a predicted model, not a curated record. Lineage: Eukaryota; Metazoa; Chordata; Aves; Passeriformes; Corvidae.